This 253-nucleotide ribosomal RNA is filed under the name uncultured bacterium. RNAcentral's name for it is "partial 16S ribosomal RNA". It matches the Rfam family "Bacterial small subunit ribosomal RNA", at positions 524 to 776 of the family's 1533-position model. The record is from RNAcentral.
UACGUAGGGAGCAAGCGUUGUUCGGAUUUACUGGGCGUAAAGGGCGCGUAGGCGGCCUGUCAAGUCAACUGUGAAAUCUCCGGGCUUAACUCGGAACGGUCAGUUGAUACUGUCAGGCUAGAGUGCAGAAGGGGCAAUCGGAAUUCCCAGUGUAGAGGUGAAAUUCGUAGAUAUCGAGAGGAACACCGGUGGCGAAGGCGGCCUUCUGGACAGCAACUGACGCUGAGACGCGAAAGCGUGGGGAGCAAACAGG